UACGUAGGGGGCGAGCGUUGUCCGGAAUCAUUGGGCGUAAAGCGCGCGUAGGCGGCCCGGUAAGUCCGUUGUGAAAGUCAAAGGCUCAACCUUUGAAUGCCGAUGGAUACUGCCGGGCUAGAGUCCGGAAGAGGCGAGUGGAAUUCCUGGUGUAGCGGUGGAAUGCGCAGAUAUCAGGAGGAACACCAAUGGCGAAGGCAGCUCGCUGGGACGUGACUGACGCUGAGACGCGAAAGCGUGGGGAGCAAACAGG
This 253-nucleotide ribosomal RNA is filed under the name uncultured bacterium. RNAcentral describes it as "partial 16S ribosomal RNA". It matches the Rfam family "Bacterial small subunit ribosomal RNA", at positions 524 to 776 of the family's 1533-position model. The record is from RNAcentral.